Molecule: long non-coding RNA, 635 nt
Organism: Lagenorhynchus albirostris (white-beaked dolphin)
Lineage: Eukaryota; Metazoa; Chordata; Mammalia; Artiodactyla; Delphinidae
Exons: 3
Source: RefSeq, a predicted model, not a curated record
UGAUGCAUCUACAAACCAUGGAGCACCAAGGAUUGCCAAGGCAACCGCCAGAAGCCAGGACAGAAGCAACUGAUUCUCCCUCAGAGCCUCCAGAAGAAAACAGCCUUGCUGACACCUGACUUCAUACUUCUGGCCUCCAGAACUAUAUAUCUACGAAAGGAAGAAAUGCCAGAAACUGUGGCAGCCAUCUCGAGACCUGGAACUCCAAGGCCUGAGAACCAAUAUCCUGAGGAUGGUAAUACAGAAAGACGGUGUGAAAGAUGUAUCCACUGAGAAGUGCUGUGUGCAGACCUUCUGGCUGAGAGUGUGUCAAGUAUUCAAGAAAGGUAAGUUCCCUUCCAUUCCUGCCUUCUUUUUGAAUGACUAUGCCAGGCAGAGGAGACAGAGGCAAGAUCGCUGUGAGCAAGGACUUAAACUGAGACUUGAAUUCAAAUCUGGAAUCUGCCACACGCUAGCUAUGUGGCUGCAGGCAAGUGACUCAAUUUCUCAGAGCCUUGGUUUCUUCAUCUAGAAAACAGGACAAAAAAUAGCGAUUUCUUACUGUGAUUGUUGGGCUCCGUUGAGGUGUUUGAUGUGCCUAUUCCCUGCGCGUAGAGAGUACGCAAUAAACUGUAACUACUGUUAUUGACAACUAA